AUUCAACUGACGAGUCCCAAAUAGGAUGAAACGUGCGUCCUGGAU
Non-coding RNA from Schistosoma mansoni, 45 nucleotides. Lineage: Eukaryota; Metazoa; Platyhelminthes; Trematoda; Strigeidida; Schistosomatidae. The record is from Rfam.